This 408-nucleotide ribosomal RNA is filed under the name uncultured soil bacterium C010. RNAcentral describes it as "bacterial SSU rRNA". It matches the Rfam family "Bacterial small subunit ribosomal RNA", at positions 326 to 726 of the family's 1533-position model. The record is from RNAcentral.
ACGGCCCAGACUCNUACGGGAGGCAGCAGUGGGGAAUCUUGCGCAAUGCGCGAAAGCGUGACGCAGCAACGCCGCGUGGGGGAAGACGGCCUUCGGGUUGUAAACCCCUUUCAGGAGGGACGAAGGUUCGCCGGUGAAUAGCCGUGCGGAUUGACGGUACCUCCACAAGAAGCUCCGGCUAACUACGUGCCAGCAGCCGCGGUAAUACGUAGGGAGCAAGCGUUGUCCGGAAUCAUUGGGCGUAAAGCGCGCGUAGGUGGCCAUGUAAGUCCGCUGUGAAAGUCAAAGGCUCAACCUUUGAAAGCCGGUGGAUACUGCAUGGCUAGAGUACGGAAGAGGCGAGUGGAAUUCCUGGUGUAGCGGUGGAAUGCGCAGAUAUCAGGAGGAACACCAAUAGCGAAGGCAGCU